Molecule: small nuclear RNA, 63 nt
Filed under: Chelonoidis abingdonii (Abingdon island giant tortoise)
Lineage: Eukaryota; Metazoa; Chordata; Testudines; Testudinidae
Description: U4 spliceosomal RNA (ENSCABG00000022789.1)
Rfam family: U4 spliceosomal RNA
About the family: U4 small nuclear RNA (U4 snRNA) is a component of the major U2-dependent spliceosome. The structure of U4 snRNA from yeast and human has been reported.
Source: RNAcentral
AGUAUCAUAGCCAAUGAGGUUAAUCCAAGGCAUGAUUAUUGCUAGUUGAAAACUUCUCCCUAC